RNAcentral lists this ribosomal RNA (253 nucleotides) under uncultured bacterium. RNAcentral's name for it is "partial 16S ribosomal RNA". It matches the Rfam family "Bacterial small subunit ribosomal RNA", at positions 524 to 776 of the family's 1533-position model. The record is from RNAcentral.
UACGUAGGGGGCAAGCGUUGUCCGGAUUUAUUGGGCGUAAAGCGCGUGUAGGCGGCUCGGAAAGUCGGGUGUGAAAGCCCUGGGCUCAACCUAGGAAGUGCACUCGAAACUUCCGAGCUGGAGUUCUGGAGAGGAAGGCGGAAUUCUCGGUGUAGAGGUGAAAUUCGUAGAUAUCGAGAGGAACACCGGUGGCGAAGGCGGCCUUCUGGACAGCAACUGACGCUGAGACGCGAAAGCGUGGGGAGCAAACAGG